CCCUAGCCCAGAUGGAAGCAAAUAUCCUUUUAUGCCGGGGUUCGGCAUAAAAGAUAUUGCGGACAGCUGGAAUAAGC
This 77-nucleotide small RNA is filed under the name Flavobacterium sp. 1. RNAcentral describes it as "Flavo-1 RNA". It matches the Rfam family "Flavo-1 RNA". Lineage: Bacteria; Pseudomonadati; Bacteroidota; Flavobacteriia; Flavobacteriales; Flavobacteriaceae. The record is from RNAcentral.